GAUGAAGAACGCAGCGAAAUGCGAUACGUAAUGUGAAUUGCAGAAUUCAGUGAAUCAUCGAGUCUUUGAACGCACAUUGCGCCCCCUGGUAUUCCGGGGGGCAUGCCUGUCCGAGCGUCAUUGCUGCCCUCAAGCACGGCCUGUGUGUUGGGCCUCCGUCCUCCUCCCGGGGGACGGGCCCGAAAGGCAGCGGCGGCACCGCGUCCGGUCCUCGAGCGUAUGGGGCUUCGUCACCCGCUCUUGUAGGCCCGGCCGGCGCUUGCCGACACAUCAAUCUUUUUUCCAGGUUGACCUCGGAUCAGGUAGGGAUACCCGCUGAACUUAAGCAUAUCAUAAGCGGAGGA
RNAcentral lists this unclassified non-coding RNA (344 nucleotides) under soil metagenome. RNAcentral's name for it is "partial contains 5.8S ribosomal RNA, internal transcribed spacer 2, and large subunit ribosomal RNA". The stretch from base 1 to 120 matches the Rfam family "5.8S ribosomal RNA", at positions 35 to 154 of the family's 154-position model. The record is from RNAcentral.